AGAGUUUGAUCAUGGCUCAGGAUAAACGCUGGCGGCGCACAUAAGACAUGCAAGUCGAACGGAAGUCGUUAUGAUGAUUUCAACACUGACAGAGAACUUGUUCAAAGAAAGUAGAGAUUGACUUAUAACAAUGGCUUUAGUGGCGGACUGGUGAGUAACACGUGAGCAACCUGCCUAUCAGAGGGGAAUAACAGUGAGAAAUCAUUGCUAAUACCGCAUAUGCCAUAAAUAUCACAUGAUGAAAGUGGGAAAGGAGUAAUCCGCUGAUAGAUGGGCUCGCGUCUGAUUAGAUAGUUGGUGGGGUAACGGCCUACCAAGUCGACGAUCAGUAGCCGGACUGAGAGGUUGAACGGCCACAUUGGGACUGAGAUACGGCCCAGACUCCUACGGGGAGGCAGCAGUCGGGAAUAUUGCGCAAUGGAGGAAAACUCUGACGCAUGACGCCCCGUAUAGGAAGAGGGUUUUCGGAUUGUAAACUAUUGUCGUUAGGGAAGAUAC
Molecule: ribosomal RNA, 498 nt
Filed under: uncultured bacterium
Lineage: Bacteria
Description: bacterial SSU rRNA
Rfam family: Bacterial small subunit ribosomal RNA
Source: RNAcentral